AACGUAGGAGGCGAGCGUUAUCCGGAUUUACUGGGUGUAAAGCGCGAGCAGGCGGUUGAGCAAGUCAUGUGUGAAAGCGCCCAGGCUCAACCGGGCGAGGACAUGUGGAACGGCUCAACUAGAGGCAGGCAGAGGCAGAUGGAAUUCCGGGUGUAGUGGUGAAAUGCGUAGAGAUCCGGAGGAACACCAGUGGCGAAGGCGAUCUGCUGGGCCUGACCUGACGCUCAGACGCGAAAGCAUGGGGAGCGAA
This 250-nucleotide ribosomal RNA is filed under the name uncultured bacterium. RNAcentral describes it as "partial 16S ribosomal RNA". It matches the Rfam family "Bacterial small subunit ribosomal RNA", at positions 524 to 772 of the family's 1533-position model. The record is from RNAcentral.